AUUGGUUUCUCCCUUCUGACGAACCAAGAUGUCAUUAAUUUGGUGUCUUGGGGAAUCAGGACCGUUACUUUGAAAAAAUUAGAGUGUUUAAAGCAGGCUCGCGCUUGAAUACAUUAGCAUGGAAUAAUGAAAUAGGACGUUUGAUUCUAUUUUGUUGGUUUCUAGGAUCGACGUAAUGAUUAAUAGGGAUAGUUGGGGGCAUUAGUAUUCAAUUGUCAGAGGUGAAAUUCUUGGAUUUAUUGAAGACUAACUACUGCGAAAGCAUUUGCCAAGGAUGUUUUCAUUAAUCAAGAACGAAAGUUAGGGGAUCGAAGACGAUCAGAUACCGUCGUAGUCUUAACCAUAAACUAUGCCGACUAGGGAUCGGAUGAUGUUAAUUUUUUAAUGACUCAUUCGGCGCCUUACG
This 406-nucleotide ribosomal RNA is filed under the name uncultured Glomeromycotina. RNAcentral's name for it is "SSU rRNA". It matches the Rfam family "Eukaryotic small subunit ribosomal RNA", at positions 688 to 1092 of the family's 1831-position model. The record is from RNAcentral. Lineage: Eukaryota; Fungi; Glomeromycota.